RNAcentral lists this unclassified non-coding RNA (343 nucleotides) under soil metagenome. Its description in RNAcentral is "partial contains 5.8S ribosomal RNA, internal transcribed spacer 2, and large subunit ribosomal RNA". The stretch from base 1 to 120 matches the Rfam family "5.8S ribosomal RNA", at positions 35 to 154 of the family's 154-position model. The record is from RNAcentral.
GAUGAAGAACGUAGCGAAAUGCGAUAAGUAAUGUGAAUUGCAGAAUUCAGUGAAUCAUCGAAUCUUUGAACGCACAUUGCGCCCGCUAGUAUUCUGGCGGGCAUGCCUGUCCGAGCGUCAUUUCAACCCUCAAGCCCCCGGGCUUGGUGUUGGGGAUCGGCGAGCCUCCGCGCCCGCCGUCCCCUAAAUCUAGUGGCGGUCUCGCUGUAGCUUCCUCUGCGUAGUAGCACACCUCGCACUGGGAAACAGCGCGGCCACGCCGUUAAACCCCCAACUUCUGAACGUUUGACCUCGGAACAGGUAGGAAUACCCGCUGAACUUAAGCAUAUCAAUAAGCGGAGGA